GGUGUCGUGGCCGAGUGGCUAGGCUAUGGUCUGCAACACCAUCUACAGCGGUUCGAAUCCGCUCGACACCUCAA
Molecule: transfer RNA, 74 nt
Filed under: Polaribacter gangjinensis
Lineage: Bacteria; Pseudomonadati; Bacteroidota; Flavobacteriia; Flavobacteriales; Flavobacteriaceae
Description: tRNA-Cys
Rfam family: tRNA
About the family: Transfer RNA (tRNA) molecules are approximately 80 nucleotides in length. Their secondary structure includes four short double-helical elements and three loops (D, anti-codon, and T loops).
Source: RNAcentral